Molecule: ribosomal RNA, 254 nt
Filed under: uncultured bacterium
Lineage: Bacteria
Description: partial 16S ribosomal RNA
Rfam family: Bacterial small subunit ribosomal RNA
Source: RNAcentral
UACGUAGGGGGCGAGCGUUGUCCGAAUUUACUGGGCGUAAAGCGCGCGUAGGCGGCUCUUUAAGUCUGGCGUGAAAGGUUCAGGGCUCAACCCGAACAGUGCGCUGGAGACUGGAGAGCUUGAGGACGGGAGAGGGAAGCGGAAUUCCGGGUGUAGCGGUGAAAUGCGUAGAUAUCCGGAGGAACACCGAUGGCGAAGGCAGCUUCCUGGCCCGUAUCUGACGCUGAGGUGCGAAAGCGUGGGGAGCGAACGGG